This 217-nucleotide long non-coding RNA is filed under the name Elaeis guineensis (African oil palm). RNAcentral's name for it is "long non-coding RNA (EGUI_LNC014997)". The record is from RNAcentral. Lineage: Eukaryota; Viridiplantae; Streptophyta; Magnoliopsida; Arecales; Arecaceae.
ACCAUGAUGCUGAGGCUGUGUUGAUCCUAUGAUUGAUUUUAAUGAUUAUCAAAUUUUAAGUAAUUAUAAAUCUAACCAUGUAUUUCAAGAAUAAAUGUAGGUCUUUUCAGAUGUUUAAAUUGAACAAAAAAAAUAUGAAAAAGAUCUUCUCAAAAUUCACUAAGUCAAAAUCUUCAAAGAAGAAAAAUUCAAGUUUAGACUUAGUGGAGUCGACCCC